UGGAGUGGUUUACUGUAUUUUAAGUGGGUAGACAAGGUAGCAAGACAGAUUGACUUCAUUGCUUCCUUGUGAAUUGUGUGGUUUAAACAUGGAUAUGCAUGUAUUGCUAUGGUAUACUGACUUUAAUUCUUUAGGAUAUACACCAAAAAGUCAUAUAGCUGGGUCAUAUAUGGUUGUUUUGAAGUCUUUUUUAUUUUUUUAGUUGUUGAUGUACCUUUAUUAUUUUUUAUUUAUUUGUAUGUGGUGCUGAGGAUCAAACACAGUUCCUCACACAUGAUAGGCAAAUGCACUGCCACUGAGCCACAACCCCAGCCCCUGUAGUCUUCUUCUUUUUUUUUUUUAAAGAUUUUUAAAAAAUGGACAUAAUAGGCCUGAGGUUGUGACUCAGUAGUAGAGUGCUUGUCUUGCAUGUGUGAGGCACUGGGUUCAAUUCUCAGCACCACAUAAAAAUAAAUAAAUAAAAUAGAUACCAUUUUCAUCUACAACUAAAAAAUAUUUAAAAAGAUGGUGUUAAAAUAACAUUUCCAUAGUGGUUAUACCAAUUUAAAGUCCCACCAACAGUAUAAAAGUGGUAAAAAUGUUCCUUUACCCCUACAUCCUCUCCAGUACUUAUUAUUAUUUGUAUUCUUUUUUUAAGUGCUGGGGAUCAAACCUGGGGCCCCACACCUAUUAGGUAGGCACUUUGUCACUGAGCUAUAUCACCAGUCCUAUUUUUUAUAUUCUUUAUGAGUGCUAUUCUAAUGAGUGAGAUGAAAUCUCAGUAUAGUUUUGAUUUGCAUUACCCUAAAUGUGAAGGGAUGUUGAAUAUUUUUUUUCAUUUAUCUGUUGCCCAUUUGUAUUUCUUCUUCUUUUUUUAUGGGAGGGGGGUACCAGGGAUUGAACUCAGGGACACUCGACCACUGAGCCACAUCCCCAGCCCUAUUUUGCAUUUUAGUUAGAGACAGGGUCUCAUUGAGCUGGCUAGUGCCUUGCUUUUGCUGAGACUGGCUUUGAACCCACAAUCCUUCGGCCUCAACAUCCCGAGCUGCUGGGAUUACAGGCGUGCACCACGGUACCUGGCUGUAUUUUUUCUUUUGAGAAGUAUCUGUUUAGCUUAGUUGCCCAUUUAUAGACUGGGGUUAUUUGAAUUUUUGGUGUUCAAGUUCUUUUUCAUAUUCUAGAUAUUAAU
This 1168-nucleotide long non-coding RNA is filed under the name Marmota monax (woodchuck). The record is from RNAcentral. Lineage: Eukaryota; Metazoa; Chordata; Mammalia; Rodentia; Sciuridae.